AGGUUGCUCCUGCAGAACUGGAAGCUCUGCUGCUUAGCCAUCCCAAUAUUGUUGAUGCAGCUGUUAUACCGGUUGAAGAUGUAGAAACUGGACAGAUACCAAUGGCGUAUGUGGUGAAAGCAGCUGGUUCUGAGAUCACAGAAGACCAAGUCAUUCAAUUUGCCGCCAGCCAGGUGGCUCCAUAUAAGAAAAUAAGAAAGGUGAGCUUCAUUGAUGCUAUUCCAAGGUCAGCUGCAGGUAAAAUCUUGCGCAAGGAUCUUGUUUCACACAGCAAAAUGAAACGCGUUUCCAA
This is a long non-coding RNA of Neltuma alba, 292 nucleotides long. RefSeq lists it as uncharacterized. The record is from RefSeq and is a predicted model, not a curated record. The transcript is spliced from 3 exons. NCBI's taxonomy places the organism in Eukaryota, Viridiplantae, Streptophyta, Magnoliopsida, Fabales, Fabaceae.